GCCACCUCUUGGACUGACACUGUAAUUACACAUUCUUUUUUGGGAAAUCGAUUCUGGUGCGUUUAAUUCGUGUUUAAAAAUUCGUAACUUUAGUUUUAUGCAGUACAGUAAACAAAUAAGUAAAUAAAAUUAAAGAUACAUAAAAUUCACAAUUUAAUCUAGGCUAAGAGCAAUUGAAUUCAUUCAAACCAACAAACAAACUGCGUGUGGUUAUGUUAUAAAUAUAAAAAUAAUAAAAAAAAACAAAUAAAAUUUUGCGUUUAUCCUGUCCACUUAUCUAUAUAAUGAUGACUCUAUCUUAACUCUUCUCUAUCAGAUAUCCUCCUGUCACUAAACUGUUGCGUCACGUGGUUUUGGCAGUAACUAUGGAAACGUCCACGCAAUGCACUAUCAGCUUCCGUUUUUUACUUUUAUCCACCGCCGUAUAUAGGAUUGAGACCAUGGCCGUAGCUUCUAUUGUUAAGCUUCUUAAACGGACUAAACUGACAUUAUAGUUUGUCUGGCAUCUGAAAGUGGAGAUGAAGCCUCAUACCAGCGUCGUCAGACCUAAACUGAUGUCACUGCCAGCUGAAGCUCCUCUGAUAAUACAGGACGUUACAGACGCGCGAGCCAUGCAUCCUUCAAACCUCAUCUCCAGUCCUCCAGUGUCCGGAUGUUCCACGGCUGCUGAAGCCAGGCUGAAUGUUUUCUCAGCGACACGGAAAUGCCCACGCAGUCCGAGCGAUUCCAGGGAUCUAAAGCCUCACAGUGUCAGCUCUAUUACUAAAGGGCCACUGCUUCCAUUUCUAGCCAAAAAUCACUCAAACGUAACCUUACAAAACAAUGUGUAUGACAGUGAUAUUUCUGGACGGCAUUUCUUAUUUGAUAAACGAUGGAGAAAUGGAACUUACUUCACUAAUGGCAUUGAAGGUGAUGUUCUGAUAAACCACAACACUACAAAUCCACUGUCUCAGGACUUCCAUGUGUAUCGCUCUCACAAUCUAACCAGAUUCGCCCACCGCAAAGAACUCUGCCUGCGCGACCCAAGACCACUUAUUUGCGGGUCUGAUUAUCUGGCUUCAUUUCCAUCAGUUCUGUUACCAGCCACCACCCCAUCUGUCAGUGGACGGCUCUGUUUAUCACAAAACUAUAAAAACAGGUAACAUUUUUUUUUUUUUAAUUUGGCUAUACAUAUUGUUUUUAUUGCAUACUUAUUAUACUCUCUCUUGUCUUACUCUCUGCAUUUCAGAUUAAGGAUGAAAACCAGAGCACGAAAUCUCUUCGAUGGCGCUAACAACAAAAGUGAGCAUUUCAGCUUUAAGCUUAAAGCGAAUGUUUAAAUGCUUAUUAGUUAGCAUCAGUUAACUGAUUUAUUGUCUUGUGAUAACUCAUCUAAAUAGACUAUUUUUGAAAGCUUAUUUUUAUCAGUUGGCACUGGUAAAUUGAGCACAUAGCAUGUGUUAUUUAGGUGUUUGCUCAGUGUUUAACAGAUGAGAUCUUUCACUUCACUCCUGUUACAGAUUCAGACCACAGACACUGAUGAAUUUCACAUGUGCAUGUGUUUUUCAUGAGCUCACAAACGUUGAAUACACACACUUAACUCACUUAACACUUAAGCACACACACACACACACACACACACACACACACACACACACACACACACACACACACACACCUCCCACCAGGCUGUAGGCCAUUAUUGAAAUUCCAAGUCUUUUGUAUGAGGUGAGAAGAGCGUUACCUGUGUAAACCUGAAUAAGCAAACUGUGCUCUUGUCUAACCAGCCUGUGGGCCGGUAAUUGUUUUUCAGCCCAAUCGUACCCUGAUCCACACCUGGGUGCCUCGGCCUCUUUUGUUCAGAGGCUCACAGAGAUUUCCUCUCUGGAAGCAGAAACAGUGCGGCAGGAGAGAAUGAAGAGACUCAAAAAGAUCAAUAGGCAGGAUUCUUAAUCGGAGUUCAUUAGCCAAAGAGGAAACACUUGACUCUUGAAAUCACAGCUGUGCCAAGAUGGAGCAAAUAAAAUCAAGGAGAAAAACUUGAGAGGUACA
This is a long non-coding RNA of Cyprinus carpio (common carp), 2031 nucleotides long. The record is from Ensembl. Lineage: Eukaryota; Metazoa; Chordata; Actinopteri; Cypriniformes; Cyprinidae.